Molecule: ribosomal RNA, 446 nt
Filed under: uncultured bacterium
Lineage: Bacteria
Description: partial 16S ribosomal RNA
Rfam family: Bacterial small subunit ribosomal RNA
Source: RNAcentral
CCUACGGGGGGCUGCAGUCGAGAAUCAUUCACAAUGGGGGAAACCCUGAUGGUGCGACGCCGCGUGGGGGAAUGAAGGUCUUCGGAUUGUAAACCCCUGUCAUGUGGGAGCAAAUUAAAAAGAUAGUACCACAAGAGGAAGAGACGGCUAACUCUGUGCCAGCCGCCGCGGUAAUACAGAGGUCCCAAGCGUUGUUCGGAAUCACUGGGAGUAAAGCGUGCGUAGGCUGUUUCGUAAGGCGUGUGUGAAAGGCGCGGGCCGAACCCGCGGACGGCACAUGAUACUGCGAGACUAGAGUAAUGGAGGGGGAACCGGAAUUCUAGGUGUAGCAGGGAAAUGCGUAGAUAUCGGGAGGAACACUCGUGGCGAAGGCGGGUUCCUGGACAUUAACUGACGCUGAGGCACGAAGGCCAGGGGAGCGAAAGGGAUUAGAUACCCCGGUAGUC